UGGGCUUGUGCUGAGAG
Molecule: unclassified non-coding RNA, 17 nt
Filed under: Mus musculus (house mouse)
Lineage: Eukaryota; Metazoa; Chordata; Mammalia; Rodentia; Muridae
Description: oocyte_clustered_small_RNA2636
Source: RNAcentral